GUUUGGUUUACUUUAGUAUUAAUCUACAAUGCAGACAAAAUAAUACAAAAAUACUUUAUUUAAGGUGUGUCCAAACUUUUGUCUGGUACUGUAUAUUAAUAAAAAUAAAUUCAAGAAAAUAUAUUAAGAUCCCCUGCUUUAUAUCAGUUCUGUAGUUUCAGGUUUGUUACAGACAGUCCCUCAUAUCGUGUUGUGGACCUGCGUGAAGUGGUAAUAAAACAGGGAAUGAACAGCAGAUUUAUGGAAACUUUGUUGGAGAUUGUCAAAUGCUGCCGUGUUAAGUGUUUUUAUCAGCAGGGUGAAGAAAGCUUUGGUCGACUUCUUCAUCGGAUCUGUCCGGUUCGUCGGUUGACGCAAAGGCCUCCACUCGCCCCGGCUCCCCGCUCUCUCUCUCCCUCUCCCUCUCUUUCUCUCUUUAAAGUCUACAGGUUUUUAGAGAAGCUUGCCCAGGAAUGUAGGACAACAUAG
Molecule: long non-coding RNA, 468 nt
Filed under: Astyanax mexicanus (Mexican tetra)
Lineage: Eukaryota; Metazoa; Chordata; Actinopteri; Characiformes; Acestrorhamphidae
Description: lncRNA (ENSAMXG00005017427.1)
Source: RNAcentral